UGUGAGCUCGAUGAGUAGGGCGGGACACGUGGUAUCCUGUCUGAAUAUGGGGGGACCAUCCUCCAAGGCUAAAUACUCCUGACUGACCGAUAGUGAACCAGUACCGUGAGGGAAAGGCGAAAAGAACCCCGGCGAGGGGAGUGAAAAAGAACCUGAAACCGUGUACGUACAAGCAGUGGGAGCCUCUUUUAUGGGGUGACUGCGUACCUUUUGUAUAAUGGGUCAGCGACUUAUAUUCUGUAGCAAGGUUAACCGAAUAGGGGAGCCGAAGGGAAACCGAGUCUUAACUGGGCGUUAAGUUGCAGGGUAUAGACCCGAAACCCGGUGAUCUAGCCAUGGGCAGGUUGAAGGUUGGGUAACACUAACUGGAGGACCGAACCGACUAAUGUUGAAAAAUUAGCGGAUGACUUGUGGCUGGGGGUGAAAGGCCAAUCAAACCGGGAGAUAGCUGGUUCUCCCCGAAAGCUAUUUAGGUAGCGCCUCGUGAACUCAUCUCCGGGGGUAGAGCACUGUUUCGGCAAGGGGGUCAUCCCGACUUACCAACCCGAUGCAAACUGCGAAUACCGGAGAAUGUUAUCACGGGAGACACACGGCGGGUGCUAACGUCCGUCGUGAAGAGGGAAACAACCCAGACCGCCAGCUAAGGUCCCAAAGUCAUGGUUAAGUGGGAAACGAUGUGGGAAGGCCCAGACAGCCAGGAUGUUGGCUUAGAAGCAGCCAUCAUUUAAAGAAAGCGUAAUAGCUCACUGGUCGAGUCGGCCUGCGCGGAAGAUGUAACGGGGCUAAACCAUGCACCGAAGCUGCGGCAGCGAC
This 813-nucleotide ribosomal RNA is filed under the name Escherichia coli. RNAcentral's name for it is "partial 23S ribosomal RNA". It matches the Rfam family "Bacterial large subunit ribosomal RNA", at positions 398 to 1212 of the family's 2925-position model. Lineage: Bacteria; Pseudomonadati; Pseudomonadota; Gammaproteobacteria; Enterobacterales; Enterobacteriaceae. The record is from RNAcentral. RNAcentral also lists the same sequence under 1 other name.